This 509-nucleotide ribosomal RNA is filed under the name uncultured bacterium. RNAcentral's name for it is "partial 16S ribosomal RNA". It matches the Rfam family "Bacterial small subunit ribosomal RNA", at positions 28 to 523 of the family's 1533-position model. The record is from RNAcentral.
GACGAACGCUGGCGGCGUGCUUAACACAUGCAAGUGGAGCGACGAACCAGGGCUUGCCCUGGGGCAGAGCCGCGAACGGGUGAGUAACACGUGGGUAACGUGCCCCAAUGAUCGGGACAACCCGGGGAAACCCGGGCUAAUACCGAAUGUGCUCCCCUCACACCAGUGAGGGGUGGAAAGGAAGCUUCGGCCUCCGCAUUGGGAUCGGCCCGCGGCCCAUUAGCUUGUUGGUGAGGUAACGGCUCACCAAGGCUGCGAUGGGUAGCUGGUCUGAGAGGACGAUCAGCCACACUGGGACGGAGACACGGCCCGGACUCGUACGGGAGGCAGCAGUGGGGAAUCUUGCGCAAUGCGCGAAAGCGUGACGCAGCAACGCCGCGUGGGGGAAGAAGGCCUUCGGGUUGUAAACCCCUUUCAGGAGGGACGAAGCGUGGGCGGUUAAUAGCCGGCCCACGUGACGGUACCUCCAGAAGAAGCCCCGGCUAACUACGUGCCAGCAGCCGCCGUAA